UCUAAAUUUAGGAAUGCACUUGAGUUACAAGGCAUGGUGUUACACAAGUGAUACAGCCUGUCUGGAGGGGGAAGACAUUGUGAGAGUCUCUUAUCCACACAGACCUUCCCAGAUGCUGCAAACAGUCACAUUAGUGCUGACUCUGAAAGAACUUGUCUGCUCAUCCAUCACCUCUAAGAAGAGGAGGAAGAGGAAGGACACUGAAGUACUGAGGAGGAGGACAGCAUUUGGUGAAGAAGAUGAAAUUAAACUUGACAUUUUUUGGAUAGGUAUCAAGCUGUAGUGACUUUCAUUUCAAGAGGCUGAUCACGUGACCACAGGAUAAGAGGGGAGGAAUUUCUGUACAAAGAGAAAAUGUUUUAAGAAGAACAAAAGAUGACAUUUGGUUUGGCAAAACCAUAUAGACCAUAUUCUGGGCUGUUCCUUCUGGGCCUGAUCCUACACCACCAAGAAAAAUGUAAGCCUUGCCAUUGACUUAAACAGACUAUUUUAGAAUGUGUUCAGAAUUAUCCCAGCAGGUUCCUAGAGGAGUAAAAGACAGCUUUGUGUCAUCAAAUCAUCCCCAAUUAUGCCAUCAGCAAGAGCAAAUACAUCAACAAGUGCUCCAUCAAAUCCAGCGUUCUUUGGAAAUUGAUUUACAGCUACCUACUUAUUCAAAGAGAUGAGUCUAGUGAGGCCUUUGCAAAUUAGGGGCACACUAUUGUUCCCUGCAAGACAAGAUUUGGAAGUUCUUAAUGAUCAUUCACAUUUUCAAAAUAAAAAUGUGGGGAGGAAGUUUGCAGUACAUUG
Long non-coding RNA from Trachemys scripta elegans, 789 nucleotides. RefSeq lists it as uncharacterized. Lineage: Eukaryota; Metazoa; Chordata; Testudines; Emydidae. The transcript is spliced from 5 exons. The record is from RefSeq and is a predicted model, not a curated record.